Lepidothrix coronata (blue-crowned manakin) is the source of this 518-nucleotide long non-coding RNA. RefSeq lists it as uncharacterized. NCBI's taxonomy places the organism in Eukaryota, Metazoa, Chordata, Aves, Passeriformes, Pipridae. The record is from RefSeq and is a predicted model, not a curated record. The transcript is spliced from 3 exons.
GCCCUUGUGGAGGGGGUGACCUGGACUGGUUCCAGUUCCUGUCCCAGUUUGCUUCAGCAAAGCCAGCUGCUGAAAUGAUGACUUCAUGGCUUCCAGUGAUCUUUCUAUUCAGUUAUAGGCAAGACUUUCAUUGCAGUGAUGAUGUCAUGUCAGCUCUACCCUGUUGGUUGCUGUUCCUUCCAGUUGGUUCUUCUUGAUGCUCAGAUCCCACCUACCCACAGCAAGAUCUACUUACAUGGUUAUUUACAGCAGAUUUUCCCUUGUAAACAUAAAAAAUGUAAUUGUUUUUCUUGUUUGCUGUGCUGCCUUUGGAGCAGUGCUGCUGUCUGGCUUUUAAGCCUAAUGCCACGGUGCAUCUGACAGCAGAAAUGAGAAGGAAUGAUAUAAAAUCUGAGGGUUUUGUUCAAAAUAUAAUAUGGAUUUGGGAAACUCCGAUGUGAAAGAGGUUUCUUCUAUAAUUUAAAUCCUUAGGAAAUAAUAAUAUUAUCUGUUUUCCUGCUUUUUUUAAAAAAAAUAAA